RNAcentral lists this long non-coding RNA (1902 nucleotides) under Manihot esculenta (cassava). RNAcentral's name for it is "long non-coding RNA (MESC_LNC012473)". The record is from RNAcentral. Lineage: Eukaryota; Viridiplantae; Streptophyta; Magnoliopsida; Malpighiales; Euphorbiaceae.
UGUUAGUUUCAAAUUUGUGAACAAAAGAAUUUGCUUCGAAAUUAAGCUAACUGGUUUUUGGGAUAAUUUAACUAUUAUAUUUGAUUAAGUAUAUUAGGUUAGAAGUUGUUGAUUAAUUUGGAUUUUAUGAUUAAUUGAUUGGAUUUUAUGAUUAAUGACAGUGCGGUUGUCGAAGCCGGUCAAAAAUAACCUUCUUGGUUAUCAACAAUUUACAACUGCAGAUAGUGGUGAAGGAUCGAAUCCACAGAGAAUUGAUUACCUAUUUAUUUUUCUCAAUCAAGACCGAGAGAACUAAUGGAAAACACAAGAGAAAGCAAGUAAAUCAAAAGUUGAAUGAAAGUAAAGUGCAAUAAAAGUAAAAAGGGGGGUUUUGAGAUUGAUUUGUCUAACAACUAUUGAAAGCAAUUAAAACAGCAAGUAAUCAAAAUAAAAGAGGAAAUCAAUAUGAGAAAAGUCUAGUUGAAGAUAUGGAUCCACUUUGGUUGUUUGGGGUUGAUCAUUGAAACUUAGGUUAUCUUGAUUGAUUCAAUAGAUUAGUUAUGGGGGUGGAAAACGCUUCUCACCACCAUGUCUCUCCUUAUGAUUAAAUCAAUUAGGGAACGUCCUCUAAUCAAUUACUAAUUAACAAAUUGCCAAGGAACGUCCUUGGGCCUUAGGCAUCAAAACAAUUGUCAAUUGCAUAAAGAAUGAGAGAGAUCUAACCCUAGCUACUCAAACGCAUGAGAUGUUGCUAGAUCAUGCAAUUCCCUAGUUUUUACACCAAGUGUUCUUACGUCAGAAUAUUUUCAGCAAUUACGGACUAACAUAUAUCCUAACCAACAAUCAAUUAACUUUGCAAUCAAGAAUCAAGUGGCCAAUUUGAUCAAAACAACAAAGCAAUCUUAGAAUUAAGCACAAUUGCAUGAAUAUUGAAUAAACCAAAAUCAAACACUUUAUGUUCAGAUCUUACAACCUUUUAAACAACCUUAGUUUCAACCAAACUUCAACUAGAAUAAGGGUUUCAGCCAUCAUGGCUGAACCAAAAUAGAAAAUAAAAAAAAAGAAUGCAAGAAGAUGAAGAACUAAGGGAAAGAACCCUUGGAGAAGCCUUGCCAAUUCCUUGGAGGAGAGGUGUAUGAAAUCUACCUCUUCAUGUCUUUUUGAGGCCUUUUAAAUAGAUGUUGAGAGGCUGCCUAGGGUUUCUUGGGUGUCCAUGCAUCUUUGUAGAGAUUGCCCAAAGUGCCCUUGAGUCUUCUAUGUGUAUGUGUGGAGUUGCAAGCCCUUUUUGGUCUUUUGAUUGAUGCCCAAGUGUGUUCAAGAAGUCUUCUUCACAUUAUUCAUGCACUAAAGAGGAAGGUGGAGCCUUGUUUUGAAUCUUGAAUGUGCAUGGCACUAAGUGGGAAACAUGUGAUCUUCAAGAUUUGGCUUCUUGAAUAAGGAGGAGGCUGUUCGGAGGCACUUUCGGCUGCCUAAGAUGAGUUUCGGAGGCUGGACUUUCGGCUCUGGACGCAAGGUUUGGCGGCCGAAGGUGCCGCCGAAGGUGGGUGACUUUCGCCUCUGGACUGGACUUUCGACUUUCGAAAGUGCUUCCGAAAGUGGGUGAAUUUCAGCUUCCGAAAGUGCUUCCGAAGGUGCUUCCGAAGGUGGUUGAGUUUCGGCUUCCGAAAGUGCUUCCGAAGGUGCUUCCGAAGGUGGUUGAGUUUUUGGCACUUUUUGGCAUUUUUAAGAGCAUUUUCUCCAAAUUGUUCCUUUACACCUAAUAUCUGUAAAACAUGAUUAAAACCACAAAAUUAGGUAGAAUAGGUGCAAAUAAACAUCAAUAAGAUCAUGAUAAUAUGGGCUAAAAUAUGUUCUAUCAAUUAAUUAAAUAUAUUAGGUUCAAAUCAAUUCUUAUUAGGCCCAAAUUAUAGUAUAAUUCAAUGA